AUAUGCUUGUCUCAAAGAUUAAGCCAUGCAUGUCUAAGUAUAAACAACUUUGUACUGUGAAACUGCGAAUGGCUCAUUAAAUCAGUUAUAGUUUAUUUGAUUAUACCUUACUACUUGGAUAACCGUGGUAAUUCUAGAGCUAAUACAUGCUAAAAAUCCCGACUUCUGGAAGGGAUGUAUUUAUUAGAUAAAAAACCAAUGCGGGCAACCGCUUCUCUGGUGAUUCAUAAUAACUUUUCGAAUCGCAUGGCCUU
This 254-nucleotide ribosomal RNA is filed under the name uncultured Mortierella. Its description in RNAcentral is "partial 18S rRNA". It matches the Rfam family "Eukaryotic small subunit ribosomal RNA", at positions 26 to 280 of the family's 1831-position model. Lineage: Eukaryota; Fungi; Mortierellomycota; Mortierellomycetes; Mortierellales; Mortierellaceae. The record is from RNAcentral.